This 527-nucleotide ribosomal RNA is filed under the name uncultured bacterium. RNAcentral's name for it is "bacterial SSU rRNA". It matches the Rfam family "Bacterial small subunit ribosomal RNA", at positions 984 to 1509 of the family's 1533-position model. The record is from RNAcentral.
ACAUCCAGAGAACUUAGCAGAGAUGCUUUGGUGCCUUCGGGAACUCUGAGACAGGUGCUGCAUGGCUGUCGUCAGCUCGUGUUGUGAAAUGUUGGGGUUAAAGUCCCGNAACGAGCGCAACCCUUAUCCUUUGUUGCCAGCGAUUCGGUCGGGAACUCAAAGGAGACUGCCGGUGAUAAACCGGAGGAAGGUGGGGAUGACGUCAAGUCAUCAUGGCCCUUACGGCCAGGGCUACACACGUGCUACAAUGGCGCAUACAAAGAGAAGCGACCUCGCGAGAGCAAGCGGACCUCAUAAAGUGCGUCGUAGUCCGGAUUGGAGUCUGCAACUCGACUCCAUGAAGUCGGAAUCGCUAGUAAUCGUAGAUCAGAAUGCUACGGUGAAUACGUUCCCGGGCCUUGUACACACCGCCCGUCACACCAUGGGAGUGGGUUGCAAAAGAAGUAGGUAGCUUAACCUUCGGGAGGGCGCUUACCACUUUGUGAUUCAUGACUGGGGUGAAGUCGUAACAAGGUAGGCGUAGACGU